UACGAAGGGGGCUAGCGUUGCUCGGAAUCACUGGGCGUAAAGGGUGCGUAGGCGGGUCUUUAAGUCCGGGGUGAAAUCCUGGAGCUCAACUCCAGAACUGCCUUUGAUACUGAGGAUCUUGAGUCCGGGAGAGGUGAGUGGAACUGCGAGUGUAGAGGUGAAAUUCGUAGAUAUUCGCAAGAACACCAGUGGCGAAGGCGGCGAUCUGGGCUGAUACUGACGCUGAGGUGCGAAAGCGUGGGGAGCAAACAGG
This 253-nucleotide ribosomal RNA is filed under the name uncultured bacterium. RNAcentral describes it as "partial 16S ribosomal RNA". It matches the Rfam family "Bacterial small subunit ribosomal RNA", at positions 524 to 776 of the family's 1533-position model. The record is from RNAcentral.